AUCACUCAACAGCAUUAUUACUAGUGGCAUUGCUUUUGCUUCCAUGGAGGAGAGGGUGUCAAAAAGGACAAGGUGGCAUCUGUCGUGAUUGAAGCCCAGACUUUUGACGAAUGGCAGCAUUUCAAUCACAUGGUUGUGGCUGCCAUCUUGACUUUUUUACCCCCUCCCCAGGCAGCAUCCUUGGUUUCUUCCAACUGCCCACUAACAGAGAAACCUCAUACUUUGCAUUGGUAGACCAAAACCAGAAUGAUUUCUGCACCAGUAUGUACUUGAAAUGGCAGCCACACACCAGUUACUACACUGCAUUUCUACAUUGUCAGGAGUUUAUCAAUACAGAUAAGACACAGUCUAAGAAUGGGAGAGAGACUGAGAUAGAACAGCCUUUGGCUAUUUGGCCUGGGCAUUAUAGAAGCGUAAUCCAUCAAAUCUGGAAAGGUCCCAGGCUGCGCAAAGUUAAAUACUGUAAGGGUAAGAUAUUAAGGGAAAAGGGGUUUAUACCCUCCUCGCUUAUUUAUUUUCCUUCAGCAUUACUGACACUGACACUAAUCCAAAUGAUGAACAAGAAUUAUCCUGCUGACAAAUGGACAGAUGGAUGGAAGGCAUCCUGAGCCGCUUUUCCUAAUUGCUUUCCAACAUUUUGAAGAGUUGGAGAGAAUAAAAAGCAGGUGGAUGUUUUGUCCCUAGAAAUUCUGUCCAGAACAAUCCAAGUCCUUACAGAUUAGGAUGAGGAAUAUUCAUAGGUAGAGAAGCUAUCUGCAAAUUCCCCUGGGACCAAGAGGAUCCAUGCCUGGAGCAGCCAUCUUUGUCUACCCCUUCAAAGUGCCUUUUCAACAUGUCACAGCCUCGAGGUGAGGUCUUCCAUAACAACAUGUGAGCUGGUCUUUGAGCUUGUUCUAUGUGGGUCCCUGUGUGGGUCAUCAUGGAGAGUUGUUUCUGGUUCACAGAUUUUAACAGCUAGGCCACCUGUGUGCAUUCCUUUGAGAAUCCAGCAUGUCAGCUUGCUUCUGAAAGAAAAAGGUAAAGUCUCCCUCAAGUUGAGGCCAGUUUCUGUUUAGGACAUGGACAUAUCCCAUGUUCUUUUCUUGCUAAUGGUACAGAACAGAUGUCCCGUUGCUUUCUGUGGGGAUGUCUCAUUGUCUUCCCUAUUGCCUUGGGAUUUCUGGUGGUCUCCCAUCCAAGUAUUAACCAGAUCUGACCCUGUUUAGUUUCUUUAAGAUCAGCCACAGUUGGCUAGAUCCUGUCCAUAUCCCACACCCACCCACCCACCCUGCUUCUCUAACUUCUGAUGCUGUGCAGGAGAAAUCAGCCAAAGAUAAAUCUUCAUCUGGGAGCUCAUUGUUGAUUUUAAAGUAUUUUAAAAACACAUGGGCAGUUAUGAAAGUGAAUGCCUGAAUAACAAGCUUGGAUUAGGAUCCAUGCUAUGAAGUAAAAUGGCAAACUGGUGCUGUUUAUAUGUGAAUUAAAACAAAAGGUACUAUUUACUGUGUAUUAAAUUAUUCACAUGUCUAUCUAUCCAUGUGGUGACUAGGAGUCAAAAAAGACUUGAUGCAUAUAAUCAAUCUAGCAAUCUAGCUGAUAGGUAGAGAUCUUGCAAUCGGGCAGGUGUUUGGGUUAUCUGCUUAAAAGAACUCUGUUGCGAGAUAAGGAACAGGCCCAAGAAGGUAAGUUCGGAAGGUGGGAAAGAGAGAUUAGGGAAGGGGGAGAAGCAAGCUGAGGUUGUCCUGGCCUGGCCAAGUCAGGGCACAUGUGUAGGAUCCCUGGGACUAUGUGCCUUCCUGCACAGCACAUCACAGCACAAGUCAGCCUCUGCCUUGGCCAGCACUGAAGGCAAUGGAGAAGAGAAGAAGCGAGCAGAAAC
This is a long non-coding RNA of Candoia aspera, 1858 nucleotides long. RefSeq lists it as uncharacterized. The transcript is spliced from 3 exons. The record is from RefSeq and is a predicted model, not a curated record. NCBI's taxonomy places the organism in Eukaryota, Metazoa, Chordata, Lepidosauria, Squamata, Candoiidae.